UACAGAGACUGCAAGCGUUAUUCGGAUUCACUGGGCGUAAAGGGUGCGCAGGCGGCCGGGUGUGUCAGAUGUGAAAUCCCGAGGCUUAACCCCGGAACUGCGUCUGAAACUACUCGGCUAGAGUACUGGAGAGGGUAACGGAAUUCACGGUGUAGCAGUGAAAUGCGUAGAUAUCGUGAAGAACACCAGAGGCGAAGGCGGUUACCUGGACAGUUACUGACGCUCAGGCACGAAAGCAUGGGGAGCAAAAGGG
This 253-nucleotide ribosomal RNA is filed under the name uncultured bacterium. RNAcentral's name for it is "partial 16S ribosomal RNA". It matches the Rfam family "Bacterial small subunit ribosomal RNA", at positions 524 to 776 of the family's 1533-position model. The record is from RNAcentral.